RNAcentral lists this unclassified non-coding RNA (240 nucleotides) under soil metagenome. RNAcentral describes it as "partial contains 5.8S ribosomal RNA, internal transcribed spacer 2, and large subunit ribosomal RNA". The record is from RNAcentral.
AACCUUAUGGACCUGCGGGCGUAUACCUGCGGAGGGAUCAUUAACCUUUCAAAUCAGGGUGCGGCGCGGCCCCCGAGGAGCGGAAACAAUCCUUGGGAGGUAUGCGGGGGCUUCGAGCCCCCCAUUUACGCACGCACGACUGCCAUCCUUACUUUACGGGCACCUUCUGUUCUCCCUCGGCGGGGCAACCUGCCGUUGGAACCGAAUAAACUCUUUUUGCAUCUAGCAUUACCUGUUCCG